UAAAAAGCUCGUAGUUGGAUCUGUGUAUCGGACGGUCGGUUCGCCGCUCGCGGUGUUUGACUGACCGGUUCGGACGUUUUGCCGGUGGCACCUCGGCGCAAGCCGGGGUUCCGUAACUUACCCUCCGCGCUGCUCUUAACCGAGUGGUUCGGUGGGCCGGCACGUUUACUUUGAACAAAUUUGAGUGCUCAAAGCAGGCCUUACGUUGCCUGGAAACUGUGUGCAUGGAAUAAUGAAAGAGGACCUUGGUUCUAUUUUGUUGGCUUUUCUGAACUUGAGGUAAUGAUUAACAGGGACAGACGGGGGCAUUCGUAUUGCGACGUUAGAGGUGAAAUUCUUGGAUCGUCGCAAGACGGACCGAUGCGAAAGCGUUUGCCAAGAAUGUUUUCGCUAAUCAAGAACGAAAGUUAGAGGUUCGAAGGCGAUUAGAUACCGCCCUAGUUCUAACCAUAAACGAUGUCAGCCAGCGAUGCGCCGAUGUUCCUCCGAUGACACGGCGCGCAACUUCCGGGAAACCAAAGCUUUUGGGUUCCGGGG
This 537-nucleotide ribosomal RNA is filed under the name Heptagenia kyotoensis. RNAcentral's name for it is "SSU rRNA". It matches the Rfam family "Eukaryotic small subunit ribosomal RNA", at positions 620 to 1119 of the family's 1831-position model. The record is from RNAcentral. Lineage: Eukaryota; Metazoa; Arthropoda; Insecta; Ephemeroptera; Heptageniidae.